CGGAGCUACAGAAGAAGGUUA
This 21-nucleotide small nuclear RNA is filed under the name Arabidopsis thaliana (thale cress). RNAcentral describes it as "snRNA_10213". Lineage: Eukaryota; Viridiplantae; Streptophyta; Magnoliopsida; Brassicales; Brassicaceae. The record is from RNAcentral.